Molecule: RNA transcript, 2021 nt
Organism: Nannospalax galili (Upper Galilee mountains blind mole rat)
Lineage: Eukaryota; Metazoa; Chordata; Mammalia; Rodentia; Spalacidae
Gene: Utp18
Gene name: UTP18 small subunit processome component
Exons: 15
Source: RefSeq, a predicted model, not a curated record
UGGCCGUAGCGGCGUGCGAGACGCCCCGGCACAUGCGCAGUAGAGCUCCACGUGAACGUCUGCGUUUCUUCUCAGACCCCACGAUGCCGCCGGAACGCAGGAGCCGAACGAAACCAGACAGGAGAGCCGGAGCGGGGCCGGAGCGGAAGCCCGCGAAGAGGACGGAUCGAGGAGCCGAGGCCGGGAGCGGCAGGACGCUCCGAAAGGCUGCCCGUUCAUCCCCACGGACACCGCCGGCCCAGCCGAGCGCCGCAGCCAGCGCGGUCAGCGCCGCGGCGGAGGAGAGCUGGCUCCGGCGGCGGAACCGCCUGGCGCUGGAGGACGACAAACCGGCCGCCGAGCGCUGCCUGGAAGAGCUGGUGUUCGGCGACGUCGAGGACGACGAGGACGCGCUGCUGCGGCGGCUGCGAGGCGCGCGGGGUCAACUCUGUGGAAGCUCAGAUGAUGUGGAAGUGGAGAAUGAAACCAAGGACAAUUUCCCUCAGCAGAAGAAGCCAGUUUGGGUGGAUGAAGAAGAUGAAGAUGAGGAAAUGGUUGACAUGAUGAACAAUCGAUUUCGAAAAGAUAUGAUGAGAAAUACCAGUGAAAGUAAACUUUCAAAAGAUAAGCUUCAAAAGAGACUUAAAGAGGAAUUCCAGCAUGCCAUGGGAGGAGUACCUGGAUGGGCAGAGCCUAGGAAUAAGCGGAAAACAUCUUCAGAGGAUGAAAGUGAAGAGGAUGAAGAUGGUUUGUUGCAAAGGACUGGGAAUUUCAUAUCCACAUCCACUUCUCUUCCAAGAGGAAUUUUGAAGAUGAAGAACUGCCAGCCUGCCAAUGCUGAACGGCCCACCUCUGCUCGGAUUUCGUCAGUGCAGUUCCAUCCUGGUGCACAGGUGGUGAUGGUCGCUGGGCUAGAUAAUGCCAUCUCAUUGUUUCAGGUUGAUGGCAAAACAAAUCCUAAAAUCCAGAGCAUCUAUUUGGACAGGUUUCCAAUCUUUAAGGCUUGUUUUAGUGCUAAUGGAGAAGAGGUUUUAGCCACAAGUAUGCACAGCAAGGUUCUUUAUGUUUAUGAGAUGCUAGCUGGAAAGUUAAUUCCUGUACAUCAAGUGAGAGGUUUGAAAGAGAAAAUAGUGAAGCGCUUUGAAGUCUCACCAAAUGGUUCCUUCUUGCUUAUAACUGGCAUUGCUGGAUUUUCUCAUUUGCUUUCGAUGAAGACCAAAGAACUGAUUGGUAGCAUGAAAAUUAAUGGAAGAGUUGCGGCAUCCACAUUCUCUUCAGAUAGUAAGAAGAUCUAUGUUUCUUCAGGGGAUGGAGAAGUUUACAUUUGGGAUGUGAAUUCUAGGAAAUGCAUUAACAGAUUUGUUGAUGAAGGCAGUUUAUGUGGAUUAAGCAUUGCUACAUCAAGGAACGGACAGUAUGUGGCUUGUGGUUCUAAUAGUGGAGUAGUAAACAUAUACAAUCAAGAUUCGUGUCUCCAAGAAACCAACCCAAAGCCCAUAAAAGCUAUAAUGAACCUGGUUACUGGUGCUACUUAUUUGACUUUCAAUCCCACUACAGAAAUCUUGGCAAUAGCAUCAAGAAAAAUGAAAGAAGCCGUCAGAUUGGUUCACCUUCCUUCCUGUACAGUGUUUUCUAACUUUCCAGUCAUUAAGAAGAGUUCUAUUUCUCGUGUUCAAACCAUGGAUUUUUCUCCCAGAGGAGGCUACUUUGCCUUGGGGAAUGAGAAAGGCAAGGCCCUGAUGUAUAGGUUGCACCAUUACUCAGACUUCUAAAGACAUUGAAGUCAGCUACACCCUCAGUUUAGGGGAGUGGGGUGGAAAUAGAUCAGGAGCUGCCCAGCGGGACGUGAGCCUUCCUUGGGAGUUUCUAAUCCUGGAUCACAAGUCUGCCUCUUUUUCCGAGAUCCGGUGGAGCUCAUGUCAGUAUGUCUUUCUGGAAACUCUUGUGUAUGUGAUAAUACAUGGAUAAUGAUUUGUGGGGGGCCAGCCAUGCAAUUAAUAGUAGUGUCUUAAUAAACGUAUGGUAGCUUUUGUUUAAAAUAA